Rhipicephalus sanguineus (brown dog tick) is the source of this 3121-nucleotide RNA transcript. It is a transcript of the gene named transmembrane GTPase Marf, with no coding region annotated. The transcript has 16 exons. Lineage: Eukaryota; Metazoa; Arthropoda; Arachnida; Ixodida; Ixodidae. The record is from RefSeq and is a predicted model, not a curated record.
AUUUCUCUACAUUAUGGGUAACAAAACCCACGUCAUUGGUCCACUUGCUAAGAAUUUCCGUGCAGAUGGCCGCUGCGUCGUCUUACAACUGCAUGGAAAUUCCACACGAAAUGCAUCCUGAAUGACCCAUCUAUCCGAUCACUCCGCUUACCUACGCGAAACGCACAUCUUCGAGCUUGUGCCCGCGUAACCACACUGCACCAUGUCCGGCUCUCUGAGCCGGUCAGUUUCGCUGAGUCCCCUCGAUCCGAGUCCUCCCAGCCAGCCGACUUCGGGAUCACCGCCAAAACUGACGAGCUUACCUAAGGACACUAGGCAACUCGCCGAUCUAACUAUAUCGCCACUGAAGAUCUUCGUGUCGGCAAAGAAACGAAUCAACGAUGUAUUCGUGGGAAUCCAGGGAUACGUUGAAGAAAGCCACGCCUUUCUUGCAGCCCUCAAUUCUGGCAUGGAAGCAUUCAAGGCUGAAGACUGUAUGGAGGUGGAUAAGUUCAAAGACAAGAUUACUGGCAUUCGUGACGUCUUGUCACGCGAUCACAUGAAGGUCGUCUUCUUUGGCAGGACCAGCAAUGGCAAGAGCACAGUAAUCAACUCCAUGCUACAGGAUAAAAUAUUGCCUAGUGGUUUGGGCCACACCACAAACUGCUUUCUUCAAGUGGAAGGAUCAGACAGCUCUGAGGCAUAUCUGCUGACCGAGGACUCGAGUGAGCCCAAGAACGUGGAGUCCGUGCGGCAACUCGCCAACGCACUAAACUCUGAGUCACUUGGUGAGAGUGCACUGGUGAGGAUCUUCUGGCCGAAGGACAGGUGCAAUCUUCUGCGUGAUGACGUAGUUCUGGUCGACAGCCCUGGCAUCGACGUGUCCCCAAAUCUUGAUUUGUGGAUUGACAAGCACUGCCUGGAUGCUGAUGUGUUUGUGCUCGUGGCCAACGCUGAAUCUACAUUGAUGGUCACAGAAAAGAACUUCUUUCACAAGGUCAGCGAACGCCUUUCCAAGCCAAACAUAUUCAUCCUGAACAAUCGCUGGGAUGCGUCAGCGUCAGAGCCGGAGAUCAUUGAGAAGGUGCGGAAACAACACCUGGAGAGAAACCUUGCAUUCUUGGUGGACGAGUUAAAAGUUGCCAACCGCCAACAAGCCGAGGACAGAGUGUUCUUUGUGUCAGCGCGGGAGGUCCUCAAUGCCAGGCUGCGCAAGCAGCAGGGUCUACCACAGCAUUCGGGUGUAGGUCUUGCCGAAGGGUUCCAGGGGAGGUACUUUGAAUUUCAAGACUUUGAGAGGAAAUUCGAGGAGUGCCUUUCCAAGUCUGCGGUAAAAACAAAGUUUGAGCAGCACACGCAAAGAGGGAAGAAGAUUACAAGCGAGUUGCGAGCCAUCAUGGACAAAGUUUACGAGCAGGCAUCGUCACUCAAGGCGGAGAAGCAGACCCUUCGGCGUGAGCAAGCGGAGAGGCUGCAGUUCACGCAGCAGCAGCUGCAGCUACUGACGGAGGAGGCGAAGCAGCGCAUUGGGCAGCUAGUGGAGCAAGUGGAGCAGCAAGUGGCUGGUGCCCUGAGCGAGGAGAUCCGCCGGCUGGAGCUGCUGGUUGGCGAGUUCGAGCGGCCCUUCCACCCGGACCCACUGGUGCUGGGCGUGUACAAGCGCGAGCUGCACGCCUAUGUCGAGCGGGGCCUCGGAUGCAACCUGCGUGCCCGCCUGUCCACUACGCUGCAAAUGUCCGUCGAGAAUGCACAGAAGGAGAUGAUCGGCCGUAUGUCAUCGCUGAUACCGUCGGAGCAGCAGCCGCAGAUGCUCAACGUUCUGCCACGACACAAUUUCGAAGUCCUGUACCGGCUCAACUGUGAGAGCCUCUGCUGUGACUUCCAGGAAGACCUACAGUUUCGCUUCUCAUUUGGCCUCGCUAACAUGAUUAAGUUUUUCACACAACACCGAAAAGUGGACCCAGCAACUGGUAGCAGCUACUCAAACAUGAUUCCGAGGCCGCAGUUGAGCACACCACAGACACCGAGCAACGAGAUCAAAGUGUUCCCGGCGGCUCCUCCAGACUACCUGGGCAUAGUGCACAAGUUGGCCGUAGUCUCCCCAACUCCCCAGACAGCUCUCGGCGUGCUCACAGUCGGAGGAUGUAUGGUUCGUGCCAUUGGGUGGAAGGUGAUUGCGGUGGCAGUGGGCACGUACGGAGCUCUCUACCUCUUUGAGCGGCUCACAUGGACUAACCGGUCGAAGGAGCGCUGCUUCAAGCGCCAGUAUGUGCAGCACGCCACUCGAAAGUUGCGUCUCAUCGUUGACCUCACCAGCGCCAACUGUUCUCAUCAAGUACAGCAGUAACUGUCGAGCACAUUUGCUCGCCUGGGGCACGUGGUGGACGAAGUGGUAAAUGAUAUGGAUACAGACAUCAAAAAGCUGGACAAGGAGAUCGCAAAGAUGGAGGAGGCCACAACCAAUGCCAGAACCUUGAGGAACAAGGCUGGUUACCUGAUGAGUGAACUAGAGACCUUCUCACAACAAUACCUCCAGUAUGAUCAGUAGAGGAUGGGGACGUCUUUUGGCACCGUUUUUUAGUCUUCCGUUGGCUCUGACAACAGCAUCUUCUCAAGUUUCUUCGAGGAGGAGACGUUGACAAGCAUGGAUAUCUUCAAGUUGCCUUUUUCUGUUUGUUGCCUCGCACAAUUUGUUGUUAAUAUAGAUGAAAUAAUUGCAGUCAAUUGACAUUUGUAUGGCAGGUAAUUCAGAAAUUUAUUAUCAUAUGCAAAUAUGCAAAUGAAAUGUGUUAGCAACACUUUUUGUGCUGAAGUUGGGAAACUUCUUGCUUCCCAGAUUGCAUGCUAGCAUUUUGUGUCGGGCACCAGAAUUAUGUUGUUUAUUUGUGCUAAAUGGCUGUGAUUUUGGACUCUGCAUUUGUUGUUUAAGCCUGCUAAGAAAAGUUCUACGAUUACCUUCGUUGCAGUAUAUGUUUUCUUAAGCAAUAUGGAUUUCUCUGUUUCUUAAAGCAUGCAUCAGUUGUUGCAGAAUGACUUGUUAUAGGUAAUUUGCUGUGCAUUCAUGAAUUGAUUCAAUGAACACUAUUUUUGUUUAGAAUAAUAAUUAUUAUUGUUUAAUAAAUAAAGCUGGCAAGCACACAUC